UGUGUGUGUGUGUGUGUGUGUGUGUGUGUAUGUGUUUUAUUAUACAUGCAUACACACCCACCCACCCACACACUCACAAA
This 80-nucleotide microRNA precursor is filed under the name Podarcis lilfordi (Lilford's wall lizard). Lineage: Eukaryota; Metazoa; Chordata; Lepidosauria; Squamata; Lacertidae. The record is from RNAcentral.